RNAcentral lists this long non-coding RNA (2196 nucleotides) under Piliocolobus tephrosceles (Ugandan red Colobus). RNAcentral's name for it is "lncRNA (ENSPTEG00000015021.1)". Lineage: Eukaryota; Metazoa; Chordata; Mammalia; Primates; Cercopithecidae. The record is from RNAcentral.
CAGUAACAAUAACAACAGUAACAAUAAUAAUAAUGAUAAAAGUUAUACAAAUAUAAACAAUAAUAUAAAUAUAAUUUUUUAUAAAAUAAUAAAAUGUCAAGGUUUAUAUUUUGUUAUAUAUAUAUAUUUUUAUGAACAUACAUAUUAUAUUGCGUUUGUUAGUAAAUAUAAUAUUAUUAAUUAUACUAAAAAUUUAAUUCAUUACCACAUAAUAAAUAACGAAGAAGAAAGUCUUGUAAAUCAAUUAGCAUUAAGGUGUGAAAAAAAAAAAAUUGAACUUAUGGAUAAUUGGGCAGAGUUGAAAAAAUAUGUAUUCGUAUUAUAUCCUGGCUUACAAACUAAAGUUAAGUGUUUUGGAUCGGAUCAGAAUUUACAAAAAUGGAGUGGGCAUAACAAUAAUGACGGUAGUAACAGUAGUAGUAAUAGUAGUAGUAGUAGUAGUAGUAAUAGUAGUAGUAGUAGUAGUAAUAGUAGUGGUAGUAAUAGUAGUGGUAGUAGUAGUAGUAGUAAUAGUAUUAGUAGUAGUAUUAGUAUUAGUAGUAGUAGUAAUAGUAGUAGUAGUAGUAGUAGUAGUAAUAGUAGAGGUGGUAUAAAAAAGAAAAGUUUCCGAAUAUAUAAAAAAAAAAUAAAAAAAGACAUGAAUGAAGAUAAAACAAGUAUAAAAACUUAUUGUUUUGAUCAUCGGUUUAUUAUUAAUACUAAUCUUAAAGUAAUAAAUCAAGAUGUAGCAUCUUAUGAAAAUAAUAAAGAAUAUACAAAAAUUACAAAAUUAAAUGAUGACUAUGUAAUUAUAAAUAUAAAAAUAUUUAAUUUUCAUGGUUUUAAUUUAUCUUUUAUAGAAUUCCGUUCAUAUGUUUUAAUAGUAAAUCUAACAAAAUAUAAUUUUCUUAUUAAAACAAAAGAUCAUGAAACUUUGAAAAGAGAGCAUAGUACAGGUGCUGUUAGUUACUAUAACAGGGAUUAUACUCCAACCAGUGACGGAGACAACAGUAGUAACAGUAGUAACAGUAGUAACAGUAGUAACAGUAGUAGUAACGGUAACGAUAGUAGUAAUAGAAAAAAAAAGAAGAAAAAAAAAAAAAAACAUAAUUUUGAAAAUACUUCAUCCGAUGAAUAUAAUACGAAUAUAACUAAACGGGUAGACAAAGAAGAUGUAUUUAGUUAUAGGUCCGAUUUAAAUGAAAGUGAAGAAUGUAUUUUAAGUGAAUACUCAAGAAAGUCUUUUUCUGGAGAAACUGACAUUAUGGGAAAAAGUUUUUAUAAAAAUGUAAAAGGUUUAAGAGGUAAUAAAAAAAAGAACUAUCUUAAAAAACAUAAAACACAGAUAACCUACUACGACAGCAGUAAUAGCAAGAGCAACAACAGGGACAGGGACAGGGACAGUAACAGGGACAGGGACAGGGACAGUAACAGGGACAGUAACAGGGACAGUAAGAGCAAAAAAAACAAAAGAAAUAAUAACAGUUAUAUGUGUACUUUCUUUUCAGCACUUGUAAACAAAGCAAAACUUAACGGAGAAAAAGAAAAAACAAAUUUAUUAAAAAGUAUGACCAUGCAAGAAUUAAAGAUAAAAAAUAAAAGUACAUGGGAUUUUAUUAGUUUGAAAAUUGAAGAUACAGAAAAAAAGAGUUCACAAGUGAUGAGUAUAUAUUAUCCACACAAAACGAAUGAAACAAAGAGAAAUGAAAAAAAAUCAAACGAAACAUGGAGGAAUGAUAAAGAUUACUAUUUUAAUGGAUAUAAUACGGAGUAUAUCCCAAAGGAGAAAAGAAAACAAAUUAAUGAAAAAAAAAAAUUAAAUUUCAAACGUGCUAUGGAUAUAAUAAAAAAAAAUUGUUAUUUUACGAAAAAAGAGGAUGAAACAGAAGAUGAAAUAGGAGGAAUAAAAAAAACAUAUUUCAAAAAUGAAAAUUUACAAAAAAAGUACAUUAUAUGUAAUUAUAUGAGAAUACAUAAAAAUAUGAAUAAAUAUUUUUAUAUGUAUAAAUAUAAACAAAUAAAUACGACAAAUCAUGAAUAUUAUAUUGUUGUUAAAGAAAUGCUAUUUCGUAUUAUAUCUAUAGAACAAGACAAAACCAAUUAUAUAAUCAUUAAAAAAGUUCCGUUUUAUGAUGGGUAUAACAGUUGCAGUACACUUGAUCUUAUAAAUACUAAAAUGGGGGAGGUCGCUAUAGGUAGAACCACUACAGAUAGAAC